GUUUGGUUAAGUUAGAAAGGGCGCACGGUGGAUGCCUUGACACUAGGAGUCGAUGAAGGACGGGACUAACGCCGAUAUGCUUCGGGGAGCUGUAAGUAAGCUUUGAUCCGAAGAUUUCCGAAUGGGGAAACCCACUAUACGUAAUGGUAUGGUAUCCUUACCUGAAUACAUAGGGUAUGGAAGACAGACCCAGGGAACUGAAACAUCUAAGUACCUGGAGGAAGAGAAAGCAAAUGCGAUUUCCUGAGUAGCGGCGAGCGAAACGGAACAUAGC
This 274-nucleotide ribosomal RNA is filed under the name Bacillus cereus. RNAcentral describes it as "partial 23S ribosomal RNA". It matches the Rfam family "Bacterial large subunit ribosomal RNA", at positions 1 to 269 of the family's 2925-position model. Lineage: Bacteria; Bacillati; Bacillota; Bacilli; Caryophanales; Bacillaceae. The record is from RNAcentral.